CCGCGUGUGUGAAGAAGGCCUUCGGGUUGUAAAGCACUUUAAGCGAGGAGGAAGGUUCGUUACUUAAUACGUAACGGAAUUGACGUUACUCGCAGAAUAAGCACCGGCUAACUCUGUGCCAGCAGCCGCGGUAAUACAGAGGGUGCAAGCGUUAAUCGGAAUUACUGGGCGUAAAGCGCGCGUAGGCGGUUGCGUAAGUUGGAGGUGAAAUCCCCGGGCUCAACCUGGGCAUUGCCUUCAAAACUGCGCAGCUAGAGUAUUGGAGAGGAAGGUAGAAUUCCAGGUGUAGC
Molecule: ribosomal RNA, 290 nt
Filed under: uncultured bacterium
Lineage: Bacteria
Description: partial 16S ribosomal RNA
Rfam family: Bacterial small subunit ribosomal RNA
Source: RNAcentral